Cornus florida is the source of this 104-nucleotide small nucleolar RNA. Lineage: Eukaryota; Viridiplantae; Streptophyta; Magnoliopsida; Cornales; Cornaceae. The record is from RefSeq and is a predicted model, not a curated record.
AUGCUAUGAUGAGGGCAUUUGCUUAGAAAAUCGUUCAAUCUUUCCCAAGCCUCAUGUUACCAUUCCCCUUUCCUUUGUGAAAAUUCUCUAAUUGAAGUAAGCAU